GACGAACGCUGGCGGCGUGCUUAACACAUGCAAGUCGAACGGAAAGGCCCUGCUUUUGUGGGGUGCUCGAGUGGCGAACGGGUGAGUAACACGUGAGUAACCUGCCCUUGACUUUGGGAUAACUUCAGGAAACUGGGGCUAAUACCGGAUAGGAGCUCCUGCUGCAUGGUGGGGGUUGGAAAGUUUCGGCGGUUGGGGAUGGACGGGCGGCUUAUCAGCUUGUUGGUGGGGUAGUGGCUUACCAAGGCUGUGACGGGUAGCCGGCCUGGGAGGGUGACCGGCGACAUUGGUACUGAGAGACGGACCAGACUCCUACGGGAGGCAGCAGGGGGGAAUAUGGCACAAUGGGCGGAAGCCUGAUGCAGCAACGCCGCGUGCGGGAUGACGGCCUUCGGGUUGUAAACCGCUUUCGCCUGUGACGAAGCGUGAGUGACGGUAAUGGGUAAAGAAGCACCGGCUAACUACGUG
This 468-nucleotide ribosomal RNA is filed under the name uncultured bacterium. RNAcentral describes it as "partial 16S ribosomal RNA". It matches the Rfam family "Bacterial small subunit ribosomal RNA", at positions 28 to 507 of the family's 1533-position model. The record is from RNAcentral.